AAAGCACUCCCUCCGUUCCAAAUUACUCGUGCAGAAAUGGAUGUAUCUAAAACUAAAAUACAUCUAGAUACAUCCAUACUUGCGACAAGUAAUUUGGAACGGAGGGAGUAACUG
This is a non-coding RNA of Triticum aestivum (bread wheat), 114 nucleotides long. The record is from Rfam. Lineage: Eukaryota; Viridiplantae; Streptophyta; Magnoliopsida; Poales; Poaceae.